This 553-nucleotide ribosomal RNA is filed under the name Clostridioides difficile. RNAcentral describes it as "partial 23S ribosomal RNA". It matches the Rfam family "Bacterial large subunit ribosomal RNA", at positions 1649 to 2214 of the family's 2925-position model. Lineage: Bacteria; Bacillati; Bacillota; Clostridia; Peptostreptococcales; Peptostreptococcaceae. The record is from RNAcentral.
CAAACCGACACAGGUGGGUGAGGAGAGUAUCCUAAGGCCAGCGAGAGAACUGUUGUUAAGGAACUCGGCAAAAUGACCCCGUAACUUAGGGAUAAGGGGUGCCACCAUCAGGUGGCCGCAGAGAAUAGGCCCAAGCGACUGUUUACCAAAAACAUAGGUUUCUGCUAAGUCGCAAGACGAUGUAUAGGAGCUGACGCCUGCCCGGUGCUGGAAGGUUAAGGGGAUCUGUUAGAGCAAUCGAAGCAGUGAACUUAAGCCCCAGUAAACGGCGGCCGUAACUAUAACGGUCCUAAGGUAGCGAAAUUCCUUGUCGGGUAAGUUCCGACCCGCACGAAAGGCGUAACGAUUUGGGCACUGUCUCAACAACAGACUCGGUGAAAUUGUAAUUCCGGUGAAGAUGCCGGAUACCUGCGACAGGACGGAAAGACCCCAUGGAGCUUUACUGUAGCUUGACAUUGGGUCUUGGUACUACAUGUACAGGAUAGGUGGGAGGCUUUGAAACCAGGACGCCAGUUUUGGCGGAGCCAUCCUUGGGAUACCACCCUUGUAGUAC